CCUACGGGUGGCUGCAGUGAGGAAUAUUGGUCAAUGGGCGCAAGCCUGAACCAGCCAAGUCGCGUGAGGGAUGACGGUCCUAUGGAUUGUAAACCUCUUUUGUCGGGGAGCAAGGCCCGCCACGUGUGGCGGGAAGGAGAGUACCCGAAGAAAAAGCAUCGGCUAACUCCGUGCCAGACGCCGCGGUAAUACGGAGGAUGCGAGCGUUAUGCGGAUUUAGUGGGUUUAAAGGGUGCGUAGGCGGAAGGUUAAGUCAGAGGUAAAAUGUCGGUGCUAAAAACCGGCCUGCCGUCGAAACUGGUCUUCUUGAGUGAGCGAGAGGUAUGCGGAAUGCGUGGUGUAGCGGUGAAAUGCAUAGAUAUCAGACAGAACUCCGAUUGCGAAGGCAGCAUACCGGCGCUCAACUGACGCUGAGGCACGAAAGCGUGGGGAUCGAACAGGAUUAGAUACCCCUGUAGUC
This 460-nucleotide ribosomal RNA is filed under the name uncultured bacterium. Its description in RNAcentral is "partial 16S ribosomal RNA". It matches the Rfam family "Bacterial small subunit ribosomal RNA", at positions 338 to 795 of the family's 1533-position model. The record is from RNAcentral.